ACGAACGCUGGCGGCGUGCCUAAUCCAUGCAAGUAGAACGCUGAAGAGAGGAGCUUGCUCUUCUUGGAUGAGUUGCGAACGGGUGAGUAACGCGUAGGUAACCUGCCUUGUAGCGGGGGAUAACUAUUGGAAACGAUAGCUAAUACCGCAUAACAAUGGAUGACACAUGUCAUUUAUUUGAAAGGGGCAAUUGCUCCACUACAAGAUGGACCUGCGUUGUAUUAGCUAGUAGGUGAGGUAACGGCUCACCUAGGCGACGAUACAUAGCCGACCUGAGAGGGUGAUCGGCCACACUGGGACUGAGACACGGCCCAGACUCCUACGGGAGGCAGCAGUAGGGAAUCUUCGGCAAUGGGGGCAACCCUGACCGAGCAACGCCGCGUGAGUGAAGAAGGUUUUCGGAUCGUAAAGCUCUGUUGUAAGUCAAGAACGAGUGUGAGAGUGGAAAGUUCACACUGGGACGGUAGCUUACCAGAAAGGGACGGCUAACUACGU
This 495-nucleotide ribosomal RNA is filed under the name uncultured bacterium. RNAcentral's name for it is "partial 16S ribosomal RNA". It matches the Rfam family "Bacterial small subunit ribosomal RNA", at positions 29 to 506 of the family's 1533-position model. The record is from RNAcentral.